Molecule: ribosomal RNA, 293 nt
Filed under: uncultured bacterium
Lineage: Bacteria
Description: partial 16S ribosomal RNA
Rfam family: Bacterial small subunit ribosomal RNA
Source: RNAcentral
GUGGCCAGCCGCCGCGGUAAUACGGAGGGUGCAAGCGUUGUCCGGAAUCACUGGGCGUAAAGGGUGCGCAGGCGGGGCAGCAAGUCAGAGGUGAAAGCCCGUGGCUCAGCCACGGAAGUGCCUUCGAAACUGUUGCGCUUGAGUCCCGGAGAGGUUGCCGGAAUUCGUGGUGUAGCGGUGAAAUGCGUAGAUAUCACGAGGAACACCAGAGGCGAAAGCGGGCAGCUGGACGGGUACUGACGCUCAGGCACGAAAGCGUGGGGAGCAAACAGGAUUAGAAACCCUAGUAGUCC